Molecule: long non-coding RNA, 39494 nt
Filed under: Arabidopsis thaliana (thale cress)
Lineage: Eukaryota; Viridiplantae; Streptophyta; Magnoliopsida; Brassicales; Brassicaceae
Description: long non-coding RNA (ATHA_LNC000223)
Rfam family: Plant signal recognition particle RNA (bases 1-306)
Source: RNAcentral
GUCGAGCUAAGUAACAUGAGCUUGUAACCCAUGUGGGGACAUUUAGAUGGUGGAACACUGGUUCGGGUCCACGGGCCGGUUCUGUUGUUGGCAUGUUUCUGGGCUGCCCAGUCCAAGCUGUGAGUAAGACGUGUGUGUCAAGCGAAGGCUUGGCUCAAACGGCUUCUAAAGUUGGAGGGUAAUGCGUGAGGCUGGUUUCACAGAGCAGCGACUACUUCCCGCUUACAGCAGUGGACGGAUCACAGUUUAGCGUCGCUCAGAACCACUAUGGCCUGCUGGUCCGAUCUCAUAUGAACCACCAUUUUUUUCCUUCUUUUGAUUUUGUUUUCCAAAACUUUCUACGCUUUUUGUUUAUACUUUAAGAGGGAACAAAAGCAAACUUUGAACAAAGCAAGAGACGAAGAGUUGUAUUAUAUAGCUUUUGUUCUAUGUAUGGAAAAUAUACAAGUUUUAUGCUACUCAAAACUGUGACUUAAGAGUCAAGGUUAAAGAGCCACGAGUAAGAUGUGUAGGUAUGAUCUCAAUGGUAUCGUUGUCAUCAACACCAACCACCCAGAAUGACUGAUUCUCUUUCAAUACUCUGUUUUUUGUGUAUAAGAAAUUACCCUUCUUGAGGCAGCUUUUACUCACCUUCCUCUUCAAUCUUCAUCAACUCGUUUCUCAGUUCUUUCACGUUAUCGUUCAAUAGUUGCAGAGUGUUUUGACGCAAUUAGUAUUUUGAUUGUUUUUUUGGUUAAGUUUUUGAGUAAAGCAAGAGACUUUACUGUCUUUCUGCCCUGUUUUAUCAACAAAGAUUCAACAUUUGGAUCUUCAUACUUGUUGCUGUAACCCCAGAUCAUUGAAAAAUACCAAAAAAAAUGUGAGCUAGACCACCCGAUCGUAAUGUUUUCUAGAGAAUGUACAGAGCUAAUUUCGAAAAGAUGUUAACUCAAGAAGAACUAGUUUCUCUUCUUUUAACAACAACAAUAUGGAGACUGCAAAAAGAUGUUAGCUCACUUCUCACGGAUAAGCUCAAUUGUAUCGCCAUCAGCAACACGGUUCCACUUGAAUGACUUAGUUUCGAUCAAUGGUAACUCACUGCUUACCAAGUGAAACGCUUCGUGAGGCAGAUUUAACUCACCCCUCUCUUGCAUCUUAACCAGCUCUUUCCUCAGUUCUUCAACGUUGUCAUCUGCGUUAACCUCUACUUGAAUCAUCUUGGUAUCUUCUUGAUAUGGCUUCACAUGUACUGUAAACUUCAUCGGGUUUGUCUUGAUCUUCUUUUCCACAGGCGAAUCUGAAUCUCUAAGGACCUCUUUGGCUGUGCCUGACGUUGAAGCUUGCUCGGUGGUUUGAACCACUUGAUUUGUUCUGCCUCCAACCGUCACAGUUGCUGAAUAUUUAGGGCCAAGUAACUCAUCAAGUGAAUAAGCCGGUAGUGAUGAAUAUACAUUGUGGACUCUCCUCGCCAUCACCCUCGUGAGCUUUUUGCUCUCCGAUGAAUCUUGAAUGCCACAGAACUCUUGUUUCUUAUCAUCAAUUUGUUUUGAUUGCUCGGUUUGCUCGUUGCUCUGAUUAGGGUCAGCAUCAGGAGAGAUGCGGAGAAGGAGAGAUUCGAAGAGGAUCAUGUAAUCAAUCUUAUGAAGAUCAUCUUCAAGAGCCUUGCCAUCCAAGUAAAGGAUUUGUUUCGAAACAGGGAUACCUUGAGACUUCUCGAUCUUCUCUUUUAUCUGUAACACUGUUUCGCCGAAAUCAAUAGUAAUGGAGAACGAUGAGCCAGUCUCAGUAUCGAUGUCCACGUUCAUCGUUGUAGUUUCAAGAUCAGUGGAGAGAGACUAAGGAGGAAGAGAGAAAGAGAAACUGAUGAUUUGUGACGAAAGUUUGUUAAUUUCGUGAUUUGGCCGCUUAAAUAUCACUAGUCAAAGAAUUCUAACCGUCGAUUUCUCUCCUUACUGAUAUGAUCCAACGGUUAUUAGUCGCAGAGUGUUUAUAAGCAAAUUAGUAAUGUGAUUUUUCUUUGGUUUUAGUUUUUGAAUAAAGCAAGAAACUUUACUGUCUUUUGCUCUGUUUUGUCAAUAAAGAUUCAACAUUUGAUCUUUGUACUAGUGAUACAUUGAAGUAGUAAAAGAAAUGUGAAUUAGAAUGUACACAGAGCUUAUAGUAACUCAACAAGAACUUAUUUCUCUUCUUUCAGCUCAUAUUGGUAUUACAUGUGUUAGGAUAUUUCAGAAAACUUGAAGAAAGACUAAAACCAAUAAGAAAAAGAGUUUAAGAUCGAUUAGUGAUCAAACGUUCAACCACUAGUGAGUUUAACAUAUCCUUGGGAAAUCUGAAUCGUAUCACCGUAAGCAACACCGUUGGUCAAGAAUGACUGAUCUUCGUGUAAUACAGCCUGCUUAUGCUUGUGUAUUAAGUAAUACAUUCCUUGAGGCAGAUUUAACUCACCCCUCUCUUGCAUCUUAACCAGCUCUUUCCUCAGUUCUUCAACGUUAUCAUCUGCUGUAACCUCUACUUGAAUCAUCCUGGUAUAUCCAUAUGGCUGCACCAUUACUAUCAUCUUCAUCGCAAGCGAGUCUGUAAUGUUAAUGACCUCUUCGACUGAGUCUGACGGCGAAGAUACUCUGUUUUUAACCUCUUGAUCCCUGUUUCUUAUGCUCCCAACAGCCACAGUCGACGAAUCUCGAGGGGCAAGUAACUCAUCAAGUGAAUAUGAUGGUCGUGAUGAUCCAUUGUCGAUUCUCUUCGCCACCACUCUCAUUAAUGGAGGCCGAUCUUGUUGAUUCUUACUGAACUUUUCCAUAGUCAAAGCACUUGAUUUUGGCGAUAAUGGAGAAUCUUGAUUGUUAACGAACUCAUGAAUAGGAUUUGAUGGUGUUGAUGGAGAUUGGUUGGUUUGAGGCACUUGGUUCUGAGUAGGGUUAUCGUCAGGAGAGAUGGAGAGAAGGAUACGAGAGUUGUGACGUAUCUGGCAUCCAAACAUAUUAAGAUGGUCUUGAAGUACCUUGCGUUUGAAGAUAAGUAUUUGCUUGGAAACAGGGGUCCCUUGAGUCAUCUCGAUCUUCCGUUUAAUCAUUAACACUGUGUCCCAGAAAGAAACAUCAAUGGUGAACGAUGAGCCACUCUGAUUCUCGAUGAUCACCUUUAUCAUUGUAUCAUGAAUCGGAUUUGAUGGAGAUUGAGGGACUUGGUUCUGAGUAGGGUUAUCGUCAGGAGAGAUGGAUAGAAGGAUACGAGAGUUGUGGAAGAUGCCGUAUUCAAACAUAUCAAGAUGAUCUUCAAGAAGCUUGCGUUUGAAGAAGAGUGUUUGAUGUUCUCAAGUAAGUGAGUCUUAUUGGGAAUAAUAUUAACUCAUGUUCUUCUUGCAUUUGAUUUCUUUGCCGCUCUCUUCUUCUAUCUCAAAUCUGUCUCUUCAAUUUCACAGUUGGGCUUUUUAUUAGUCUAUAAUGGGACUCAAAAUAAGGCUUUGGCCCACAUCAAAAAGAUAAGUCAAAUGAAAACUAAAUUCAGUCUUUUGUCCCACAUCGAUCACUCUACUCGUUUUGUGUUUGUUUAUAUAUUACACGAACCGAUCUUCGGUACGUCGAGCGAAGUAACAUGAGCUUGUAACCCAUGUGGGGACAUUAAGAUGGUGGAACACUGGUUCGGGUCCACGGGCCGGUUCUGUUGCUGGCAUGUUUCUGGGCUGCCCAGUCCAAGCUGUGAGUAAGACGUGUGUGUCAAGCGAAGGCUUGGCUCAAACGGCUGCUAAAGUUGGAGGGCAAUGCGUGAGGCUGGUUUCACAGAGCAGCGAUUACUUCCCGCUUACAGCAGUGGACGGAUCACAGUUUGGCGUCGCUCAGAACCACUAUGGCCUGCUGGUCCGAUCUCAUCUGAACCACCAUUUUUUUCCCUCUUUUGAUUUUGUUUUCCAAAACUUUCUACGCUUUUUGUUUUUGGGUUUAAUGCUUUAAGAGGGAACAAAAACAAAGCUGUGAAAACUGAAAGCAAACUUUGAACAAAGCAAGAGACUUAAGAGUUGUAUUUACAGCUUUUGUUCGAUGUAUGGAAAUGUACAAUUUUUUUGCUACUCAAAGAAAUGAGACUUAAGAGUCAACGUUAAAAGAGCCAGGAGUAAAAUGUCUAGGUAUGAUCUCAAUUGUAUCGUUGUGAUCAACACCAACCACCCAGAAUGACUGAUUCUCGUUAAAUACUCUGUUCUUGAGGCAGAUUUAACUCACCAUUCUCUGCAAUCUUCACCAACUCGUUUCUUAGUUCUUUCACGUUAUCGUUCAUCUUAACAUUCACAGCCACCGGAAUCCCCUUGGCAGCUUCACUCUCACCGGAAUACGGCAAAACGCAUACGACAAUCGGCUUCUUCGGAAUCCUCUCCUUCUCAGACAAAUCUUGAAUGUUCGUGAAUCGUGAUCAUCUCUUGGACUGAGUUUGACGAUGGAGAUUGCUCUGUUUGAGCCGUCACAGUGGAAUCUUGAUGAGCGUUGAUGAUUUGUUCUGUUGGGUUUGACGGUGGAGGAGAUUGCUCGGUCUGACCCAUCACAGUCGAAUCUUGAUGACCGUCGAUGAUCUGUUCUGUUGAGUUCGACGGUGGAGGAGAUUGCUCGGUUUGAUUGUGGUUAGGGUUCUGGUCAGGAGAGACGACGAGUUGGAGACGAGAUUCAUGGACGAUCAAAAUCGUCUUGAAGAACAGUGCCGUGGAAGAUAAGGGUGUGAUUGAAAACGGGGAUACAUUGAGACUUCUCGAUCUUCUGUUUUAACUCUAACACCGUAUCCUUGUGAUCCACUUCAAUCUCGAACGAUGAGCCACUCUGAUUCUCGACGAACAACUUCACAAUUGUAUUGAGUAGUGUUUCAAGAUUAAUGGAGACUGUUGAAGAAAAAAGAGAGAAAGUGAUGACUUGUAAAGAAAGUUUCCUCACAAAUAGGUUUUUGUAUCAUUUGAUUUCACAUAUCAAAAUCGAUGAGAAUCUUAACCGUCAAAAUCGAUGAGAAUCUUUUUGCUCUGUUUUGUCAACAAAGAUACAACAUUUGAUCUUUAUACUUGUUUCUGUAACGCCACAUCAUUCAAGAAUAUAUUAAAAAAAUGUGAAUUAGACGAUCUAAUCGUAAUAUUUUCUUCUGGAGAAUGUACACAGAGCUUAAAGUAACUCAACAACAACUAGUUUCUCUUCUUUCAGCUCACAUUGGUAAUUACAUGUCUUAGCUUUUUUGCAGAAAGUUGUGAACUUUUGAACAACGCACGAAAACUUAAAGACAGACUUAAAAACAACAAGAAAAGAGGAGACUGCACCACAUAGUUUAGCUCGAUUAAUGAUCAAAGCUGUGAAUUUUGAACAAAGAAAGAAAACUUGAAGAAAAGAGAAGACUGCACCACAGAGUUUAGCUUGAAGAAAGCUUUCGAACAGUUCUGGGUAGAGAGCCGGUAUAGGUAACAUAUCCUUGGAAAAUCUCAAUCGUAUCACCGGGAGCAACACGGUUCGCCAUGAAUGACUGAUCUUCGCGUAAUACAUCCUGCUUGUGUAUAAAGAAAAACCCUUCGUGAGGCAGAUUUAACUCACCCCUCUCUUGCAUCUUAACCAGCUCUUUCCUCAGUACUUCAACGUUACUCAAUACGUUAACCUCCACUUGAAUCCUCCUGGUCUCUUCAAACGGCUGCACCAUUACUGUUAUCUUCAACGGGUAGUUCUUGGUCUUCUUCCUCGCAGGCGUAUCUGGAAUGUUAAUGACCUCUUUCACUGAGUCUGACGAUGAAGAUACUCUGUUUUGAACUUCUUGAUCCCUGUUUCUUCUUCUCCCAACCGUCACAGGCGACGUACCUUGAGGGCCAAGUAACUCAGGUACCAUCUUCGUGAUCACAGGCCGAUCAUGUUGAUUCUUACUGAAGUUCUCCGUCGUCAAAGGACUAGAUUUUGGCGGUAGUGGAGGUUUCCCUGUUUGAUGAAGAAGCACUGGAUUCUUUUUGUCUUCAGCAGAAUCUUGAUUCUUAACGAACUCAUGAAUUGGAUUUGAUGGAGAUUGAGGGACUUGGUUCUGAGUAGGGUUAUCGUCAGGAGAGAUGGAGAGAUGGAGAAGAGGGUUCUGGAGGAUGUCCCACUCAAAGAUAUCAAGAUGAUCUUCAAGAAGCUUGCCUUGGAAGAAGAUUGUUUGUCUGGAAACGGGAAUACGUUGAGUCAUCUCGAUCUUCCGUUUAAACGUUAACACUGUAUCCUGUAAACCAAUAUCAAUGGAGAACGUUGAGCCACUCUCAUUCUCGACGGUCAUCUUCAUCGUUGUAUCAAUGGUAUUUGUUUCAAGAUCAAUAGAGACUGAUGAAGAAGAGAAAGAUAGAGACAGUGAUUCACGCACGGUAAGUUUGUUCGUGUCAUUUGGUUCAAAUAUCACUUAAUCCUCUAGUCGAAGAAUCGUAACCGUCGAUGGCUCUCGUUAAUGAUAUGAUCCAACGGUUAGAUUAAGUAAUCUUGUAAAGGGUUUAAACGCAGCGUUUUAGUUAAAAAUAUUGGAUCAAGCUCUUGAUUUACCUGAACCAGAGGGCUAAACCACAAUCUGAGACAAGUACCCUCAAAUCAUCGUCAAGUAGAACAUUUGGUCAACUUCUUGGUUAGUACAUAACAUGCAAGUCAUCAUUUCAUUCUUAUGGGCUUAAAGCUGAAACAUUAUCUAACGAGAAUUGAUCCACACCACAUUAGAACCACCUAGUAAAAUUGGCUAUAAACGAUUGACAUGAUAGAGUAACCAAAACUUUUCUAGAUACGGUAAACAUCAAUUGUCUCUGAUUAUCCUAAACCCUAAACUUGAGGCUGCGGAUGAUUUUGGAUAUCCGGCUGCAGAAAAACUUGAGAAGCAAAAAGAUUGAGAUCGAGAUGGGGACGUGGUGCAUUGGGAGAAGAAUACUCAUACAAAUGAAUACUCUAAUAUUUGUAUUAGAUAACGAUGAUGGUAUUGUUUUUGAGGAUUAAGGAGACGACAAUGAGUCUGCUUCUGAUCUAGUCGGAGGCAUUUACUCUGUUUUUGUCCUUUCUGUUUCUUGUCCAACAAGUUUUUAUUUAUUGACUUGUGCAUUUGUUCUACUAAUAUUAUUACCGAAUAUAUUGAAUUGACUCUACUAAAUUGUCUUGCUAAACCAAACGUUUAAAAAGAGAAACUCUUUCUUUCUUCUUCUUAUUCUUCAUUUUUUUCCUUUUGAAUAAUUCUUGACUAAAAUAGUUCAUCAACGUUUCAUAAUCUUUAAGAAAUUACACAAAUUUGCAAUUCAAAAAAGAGAAACUUUAAGACUAUAGUGAACUUUUUAAUCUUCAGUGAAAAGUAUUGAAAUUGAUUGGGAGUUGAUAAUGAAGAUCCAGAAGAGAAAUCUUCCUUGUUCCACACUUAAGAAUAGAUCUUUGACUAAAUAGUCAUCACCACCAGUUCUUUUACAGUUACCAAAAUCAAAUCUAGGCUGCUGCUGAUCUUGACCUUGUUCUGAAGAUGGUCUAGUUUUAAAUCCUUGAGGAUGUGUUGGCUGAGGCACACGUCACAUCAUUUGUUGAUUCAGCUCAGGCAGUGCUUGUCGUGGGUUGAGAUAUGUCUGACCAUCUAAAUCAAAUGAUCUUGGCUGUCCUGUUGCGGCAUUCCUGAAUAGCGGCAUUCUUAGGUUAGCCAUUGGAUGUUGAUAUAAGUUAUGCUGAGUAGCCAUUAGAUCAUGAAUGGGCCUCAUUGGCCCUGACAUUAGAUUGUUCAUCUUGUUAGCUGAUGGAUGUUGAUCAUAUGUGUUAUGUAGUCUCCAUGUGAUCUACUUACUAAUGCAGGCCCUCGAAUCUGGUUAGCCACUGGAAGCUGUUGAUAUAUUUUUAAAGGGGCCAUGGUUUUAUAGUUAUACGCAAGAAGGAAAUAUUAACCAUUCAAAAUUUUUGAUCCGUUUAGUUCUGUUAAGUCCGAUUUAAUUAGAAAUCACAAUAUCGAAUCUGUUUGGUUCGGUUAAGUCCGGUUUAUUGGACCUGACUUUAAUCUAUAUAUACAUUUUUGGUACACUUUUUGGCAAAAAUCCCUACACUAUUUACUAUUAACAUUUAAGGUCUUACAAAUUCUAUCUCAACCAAAUAUUCUAUGCCUAAAAACUUACAAAUCGUUAAUUUGCAUUAAAUACUUGAAUUAACUCUUUCCUAAAUUUUUAUCAUCAAUUAAAUCUUUCUUUAUGGAACUAAAUUCCAUUAAGGCUAAUUUCCUAAACUCUCUAUAUCAAUAUUAUAAGUAUAUAAUUUUUCUGUCACUAUAUUUGUUUUUAUAUAUAAUUUAUUUUGACUUUAUAUAUAAAAUACAUAUAGUUAAUAAAAUAUUAGAUUUUAAAUAUUUGAUUUAAUUUAAAUUUUAAAAAACAGACAUAUAAUACUCAAUCGAUAAAAAAAGUAAGUGUACAAGGUCCCACAUUACUUAAAAAAAUGGGAAAUCGUUUAGAGUCAUACUAUAAAAAGAACAAAAUGAUUCUGAAUACGAAUGAACAAGAACUUUGAUAUAUCAGACAUCCAAAAUUAAAAUUGUUAUUCGGUAUACCUCUUGAAUAUGUUAUUUAUAUCUAAAUAAUAUUAAUUAAUAUAAAAGUCUUUAAUUUUCUAACAAAAAUAUCAAACCGGAGUGUACCGUAGGUCAAUCUCUAGAUAAUGCAAGGUUUAAAUCUUUAUUAUCUCUAAAAAAUCCAAACCACGAAAAAAUACUGAAUUUUAAUAUUAAACUAAUAUACAAUUAUAAAAGAUGAAUUAUUCAAGCUUUACAUAUAUAAAAAUUAUGUGUCAAGUAUUAUAUUAUUCAUAUACAAAUAAUAAUUGUUAUAAAAAAAUAUGUAUACUUUUCAAGUUAAUAAUAUGUACACUGCAUGUCAAUAUCUAGUUAGUAAAUUACAAUUGUUCAAGUGAAAAUCCUAAGCACAAAAUUCAUAGAAGCAGGGAAUACAAACACAAACACAAACACAUAGUAAGGUCUAUAAACUUUUUGAAUACAAACAAAUUCAAGGAUUCGAGUAAACAUAACCACUUUACAGUAGAAUAUUUCAACGAACAAAAGUUAUACGAACAGAGACCAAAACCACAAGACACAAAAAGCCUCGUCUUUGCUGCAAAAUCAACUUAAGCCUCAUCCUAAGGUUAUGACUCUGUUUAUCUUUGUUUUAGUUCCCCUUUGUUGUUAUGACUAAGAACUUAACAUCUUGUCUCCGUAAUUCACUGGUGAACAAGUGCUUCCUUACAAUUCAAUCUUCAAUGUAUAGAUUCCUGAGUCUGCUCGAUAUGCAUAAGAGGUUAGUAGUUGUCCUGAUAAAUGUUUAAAUGAUGAUACUAAGGAGUUAGUUUUUUUUUGGAUCUUGAAGAUUCAAGUUCUUUGGGUUUAGCAGUUUAGCUGACUCACAGGGCCAAACCACAACCUGAGUGAGACAAGAAAGAUCAUAUUCGUCGUCAACUUCUCAAUCACAGACUAAACACUGUGAUUGACCAAAAACUUCCACAAAGCUGGCAAUAUCAGUCGACUAAUAAGUUAUUUUUGGAUAUAUUAUUGGAUUGUAAAAAGGGUUUUAGGUAAUGAGGAAAGUGUUUAGUUAAUGAGGAAAGUCAUAUAGUAUAUCCAAAAUCAAUUGUGUGGAAGUACUUGAUCUUUUUGGACAAAUAAAUACAUGAUAUUACUAAGAGAUUGACCAAAAUCAAUUCAAGGAGCACCAGAAUUCAGAAACUCAAGAACCUGAAAAGUAAAUGGAACCAAUAGACAUUUUGCAGCAGAAUUGGGAAAAUUACAAACUCACAAUAGCUAGCUUACUUAUAAAGUUGAUCAUAGCAUCAAAAAACCAAUGCAACAACUGCUAUGUAAUAUGACUUAUACGAUAUAUUUCGUAAUUGAGAAAUACUUAAACCAUAAUACACAGAAAACUAGCUAUCCAGAAUCAAUGUACUAAUAAGUUGAGAUAUCUAAAGGAGAAAACUUUACUCAAGUUCCUGACGAAGAGCAUCAAAAAGUUCUCUUUUAGUCUGUUUCUCAGUACUAAUAGUGUGUUAAGAACUUUACUCUCUCCUCUGCCAUUUUAAUCGUUGUGCUCUUUAACUUUUAGGCUUUGAACUGCUUGAUGAUUCUUAAUCGGAGAGCAUCGAUAGUACCAGCAUUCAUAAGAUGUUCAAGAACGUCUUCCGGUUUAAAUGGCUAUGUUCAAGAACGUCUUCUGGUUUAAAUGGCUACGGGUAUCGAUUUAAAACAUUUCGACAAUGAAAACUCAUCGGACAAGGAACAUCAAAUCAAAGCUGCAACAGCUAGAAAAAAAACAAGGGUUUCAUGAGAAUUAGGAUCGAUCUGAGAAUAGUUUUGGGGAAAAAAAAAUUUGGACCAUUUCUCGAUUUAUGCGUGUCAUCCUUGCGCAGGGGCCAUGCUAAUCUUCUCUGUAUCGUUCCAAUUUUAUCGGAUGUCCCCGAAGGGACAAUCACUACUUCGACUCUAACCAUAUAUAAACACAGCUUCUUCACUUGUCCUAUCGAUGUGGUACAUUUGCCAAACAUUAACAGCUUAAAUGGGCUUGUUUUACUGAAAGGCCAUUUUCUUUUUCUAUUUAGGCCCAUUAGCAUAAGUAAAAGGCCUCUUUCUAAUUCUUCCUAUGAUUGAGAAACUACGACGUCGUUAUUACAAAGACAGAAAAACAAAUGUGGACUAGUUAGUCUACAAUAUCACAAAUUUGGCUUUGGAUUUGAGCAAACGUCGCAGCGAUUUGGCUGAUUAUGGUUUGUAAAUGAGAAGAAACCAAGUAGAAUUAAGAUUUAAGAGGUUGAAUCUACCAACGACGCAAAGAAGAAAAACAAGUAGAAGAAACAACGUUUGGAAACGACUUGAACUACCGAGAUUCAAAACAUUUGCAUAACAAGUUGAAAUUUUGUCUGACAGGUAGUUCCUAAAUUAGCUGAGAACAGAAAGGAUUUCGAAAACAUACCAUAAGAUACUGAAGAUUAAGUUUGGAAACGUAGAUGAAGUUGUUUAUUGUCAUUUUUUAUCUUCCACUUUAAUGUCAUGUUAUAUAAACUUCUGCGAGAAUUGCCUUUAAAAUUUCAAAAUCUUGUCCAGAGUCGUUAACAAGAACCAACCAGCUAUCCAUGCAGCUUCUUUCGACUUCUAACACUAAGCUGAGAAGCAAUGAGAUUGAGGUGGGGACGUUGUGUUGCAUUAGGAAGAGAAUAUAUUGCUGCUGAAUAACUCACUAAGACCAACUAUGCCUCUAAUGGGUUCGUUUACACGGUUUUGACCUACAAAUGUAACUAAACACUCUGUUAAAGUACUUCAACCCAAUGAGCUUGAUUCUGAUCUUCUCGGAGCAUAUACUCUGUUUUUAUUCUUCUUGUUACUUGUGCUACACAUUUUUGUUGCUUUACUUCUUCUCUUUGUUGUCAUAUUCUUCUAAAGUUGUUUAUCACCUUCGGAUCAUUUUGACCAGAAACAACAGAUUCUGAAUCAUUCUCUGGUGGUUCAUCCACAACAUCAAGAGGUAUGGAACUCAAACUAAGUUCGUCACAAUUAAGAUCAGGUUCCUUGAAAGUUUCCAACUUUGGAUCUAUCUUCUUCGACGGUUUUAGAGGGUUUAGAAGGUGGAACCCUAACCAUGGCCAGAGAGGAAAGGGAAGAAAGGGAAGAAGAAGAAUCACUUAAGAAGGAAUAGUGAACGAACGUAUAAAGGCAUCAGCUUUGGGAACAAUUAUACAUUAUAGGUUUAGCAACAAAAUCAAACAUUGUGUUGGUUAGACCAGUUUAAGCUUGUAUAUGUUUUAACUAUUUGGUUCGGUUAAUCCGGUUUGAUACGGCUGUUUUAGAUCGCCAUAUAUGAGUAACAGAGAUGAUCAAAAGAUUCAGAAAAAAAAAAAAAAAAAAAAACUUAACCUUCGCAAAUGGCUCUCGAUGAAUGAAUUUGUGGAAGAAAGAAUCAUUGGCUCUCGAAGGAAAGAUGAUCAGAUCAACAAAAACAAUGCAUGCCAAUCAGUCUCGAACACCCCACUCAGUACCAAAUUUUAAAUCUUUUGUACACAAAAACACAUGACAAUCUUCGAAGCUCAGUGGCUUAGAAGAAAAACGAGUUUGAUCGUCAUAUAAAAAAAUUGGGAAUUUAAGCAUAAGACUCAUAUUCUUACAUGAAUUGAUUAUUGAAUUAAACUACUUCACCUAAUAAAAUUCAUUAACAUAAAUACUAAUCUCAUAAAUAUAUAUGUUCACAAUAUUAUCAUUAAUGGUAAUUAUCAUUUAGAUCCUUCUAUAUGCAAGUUACAAUUAUCCCAACCAACUUUGUCCCAAUUGGGUUUCUCUCAAAAUACUGCUUUGAAAGAUGGUUGACCUCUCUUUCUUUGGUGAAUCAACGGUUUGAUCCUUCUUUACUCCAAACAAUGUUGAUCGUCGUCCCCCACCGUUUGGUUCUACAAUGUGAAUGUUCUGAAAUCUUAUUGCUUUUGAAAGUCUGAGACCCUUUGGUUCUCUUGGUUUUUCCUUCACUAUUCAUCCUUCUCUUUACCGUCUUACUCUACGUUUGGUCGUAUGUAGCCUCGUGAAAAAUACAACCUUUUUUGGAUCAUUAAAUUUCUUGUUCAUAUCCUCUUCAUCAUUUUGUUUAGAAAACUCCUUAAUUAACGAGACUUGUGUACAUACACAUGCAUUUCGGUCAAGGCAAAAAAUUUCAUGAUCUAAGCAAAAUUAAACCCGGUGUACAAAAAUUGUUCUAGCGAUGCAAUGCUACUUAGAUGAGUUCAGUUGUGCAAAUAACAUUAAUCAAUUUGAGGUAGUGACUAGUGAUAAUUAAAUCUUCUCACAUCCUUUAUAACUUUGGCAUGUGUUCUUGGUAAGAUGAAUCUCGAGGGUUAAACCCAUGAGGUUGCAUUUUUAUGGGGAGGAAAUUGUAGCCGACUAUAUCCUCCAUGGUAAGAUAAUUCCCCAAAGUUAAUCCAUUAAGGUUGCAUUUGAUGGGGAGAAAAUUAAGGUUGGCUUUUUUUGUUGGACAGGUCCUGGUAAUAAGGUUGGUUGAAUUGCUUCUGACCUAUGGACAUCGUUGGUCAUUGUGCCUACCAUUCAAAUCUAAUCAACCAUUCGAUUUUGAGAAAGAUAACGACUGUACCUUAGAUUAAACCACGGUCUAUGCUCGUCUACUGAAAGUUGAGCUAUCGUUUUCUUGUUCGAGUAGAAGAUGUAGCAUUAAAUUGUUACUACAUUGGAACCACGUUGAAUGUGACAUGCAAACAAUUAGGGACAACAACUGCUCUAAUUGUAAUCCUUUUGUCGGUUCGUCGUUGGUUGAGAGUUGGAUUCUAAUAUGGAAGGAGGCAUAAAAUCAUAUAUAAUUAUUAAUAUUAGAUUUAUAAAAUAGACCAUAUAGAAAAACUAAAUUCAUAGCAUUAAAUUAUGUAUAUUUUGUCACCUUUAGAUUUGACAUUCCAAAGACACCAACUUUUUGAAAAAUGUUGUUUCAAUUGGUUUCUAAAUAUGCAUUAAUUAUAAUUACAUAUAUUGAAAAAACUAUAUCUUUAAAUUUAUUGAUUUGAAAGAUGCAAAUUUAGAAUUCACUACAAAAAUGUAAAUUAUGUAUAUAGUAUUAUUUAAAUUUACUUUAAACGUUAAAAUAUUAAAUUAACUACAAAAUGAGAUAGUUGGUUACUAACUCACUAGUUUUACUAUCAUUUUAAAUUUAAAUGUAGGUAUACUUUACAAUAGAGAAAGAUAACUUUAAUAUUUAAAGUUAAACUAGGAUUAAAAAAAAAUAGAUGAAAGAGCAUAAUUUUAUUUUUAUUUAUUUUCAGCAUAAAAUAGUUUUAUUUAAGAAAAACAAAUAUAGGAAAAAUGCAUCUAUAAACAAAAGAUGUGGCUGUGACAACCAAAUAUAAAAUGGAACUCUGCACCUAAAAUGUUACAUGGGGCGGCACUCUCUUGCCAAAUGACCUAAUGGACUUAACUAAAAUAACAAUCACUACUCACUACCUAACUUAUAAAAAUUAGCAUGGGGCACGUGCCCCCACCUCAUGCUAGCGAUCUGAUGACGAUUUGAAGAGCUUCCAAAAACUAUGUUUGUAAAUUUAUUCGUCAUUCUUGAGUUGAUGGUUUCUUCUUCACGAGUAUACUUUCUCUUUCCCAUAUCACGCUGCAUUUGGUUGUAUUACAAUCUAAUUAGGUUUUAUAACAAAUAGCGUGAUGUUCUAUUGUGAGUUGUGACAUUGACAAAUGGAACUGGGGCAAGGUCCUGCCAAAUUUUCACAAUUAAGCAAAUAUUAUAUUAAUUACUUUCUAAAUUAAGCGUUUAACUCAAGCAUGCAAUUCUUGUCAAAUCAAAACAUAGUGUAAACUCUGAUUACCGAAGAUAAACCUAGAUUCGUAUUAAGCAUUUUACAUACUUGCAAAUUAAGUAAACUUGAAAUAGUAUUAAUGCAAUUUGUAUAAUUUACCUUGGGCUUCACCAUCAUUGCGGUCAUCUUCUUUAGCUACCAACAAGAAGGAUUAAUAAGUAAACAUAGUAUUUAUACAAUUUGUUUCUCUCAGAGAUUUCACUAAUAUCACCGUUUCUUGAAAAAGAAGAAUAUGGUUUCUUGUUGGCUUCAUAAAUGGUGGAACGAGGAGCAUGAACAAUUGCCCUUGAUUCUCUAGAUUCUAGAGUGACAUUCGCAGAUGGAAUGGGAGGAAAGUCCAAAACAUUCACAGUUAAGCAAAGGGUGUGAACGAUCUGUGUCCCCCUAAAAAGUUUCAUAUAGCACCAUAUCUACACAGAAUUCGAACCUUUAUCCCAGUCUCCAUAAAAUGGAAGUUAAAGUUCAAUUUCUCCCUAAAUCGAAAGUUCGAAUCCUAGGUCCUCAUAAAUUCGAAUUUCACAGUUUAUCUUUGGUUUAUUGUGCCAAACCCGAUGUCAAACCAAAUCCCAACAGAUUAAACCAAAUUAAAACCUGAUUCGAGUUAUCACAACCAAAAAUAAAUACCAAAUGUUAUUAUUUAAUAUUAAUAAGAUAAUCUAAUUUAAAUAAUUAUUUUUAAAAAAACGAUUAAAAGAAUUAAAAAAAAUAUACAUCUCCAUCGUCUUCUUCCUUCCUCCCUCUUCUAAUCCCAGAUUUUGACAACAUCACAAGUCAAAACCAAAAUCGUAGAGUUGCUAAGACUUGUUUGUUUGAUUUGAUCUGUAAUUGGAGGAAAGGUUUUGUGAUGAUGGUGUUUGACAUAUAAUGGCUGGGAUUUGUUGCGGUGCACUAAUGGAUUCAAUUACUCGAGCUUUCAAUGGUAAAUGUAAAUUGAUGUUAAUUGAGAUAGAGACUGUUUGCGAAAUUUGAUUUCAUCCUAGCAUCAAUUCGAAAUCUGGAAGUUGUUUCUCAUGUGAAUUAAUGUCACCUCGAGAUUAAAAAAUGAUUUUGGAUUUGAUUCAAAAUUGCGAAAUUCGAAUUUAACAUCAAUUCUAAAUUUGGGUUUUGAUUAACAUCAAUUCACAUGGAGAAGAUUUUACGAAUCCAUGAACUUGUAUAUUGUUAUUUAUUUUUUCAGAAAAAAAUCUGGGAUUUGAAAAGGGAAGAAGGAAGAACAGAAGAAGACGAAAGGAGAUUCAUUUUUUUUUGUUUUUGCUUUUUUUUUUUUAAUUUAGUUAUUGUUAAAACCUUCUAAAUUCAGUAAAAGGUUUAGAUUUUAUUAUUGAUGUUAAAUAAUUACAUUUGGUAUUUAUUUUGGGUUGUGAUAACUUGAAUCGGUUUUAAUUCGGUUAAGUUUAUUUAAUUUUGGUUUGGUAUUGGGUUUGGCACAGUAAUCCAAAGAUAAACCAUAAAAUUUGAAUUUAUGGAGAACAAGAAUUCGAACUUUUGGUUUAGGGAGAAAUUGGACUUUAAUUUCCAUUAUGUGGAGACUGAGAUAGAGAUUCGAAUUCUAUGUAGUUAUGGUGCUAUAUGAAACUUUCUAAGGGGACACAGGUCGUUCACCCUUAAGCAAAUUUUAGUUACUUCCUGAUAAGCAAACUAGAACGAAAGAAAACUAAAUAGAAUCUCAUAGUUGCCACCAUUCAUUUCUGUUUCUCAAAACCUUAAACCCUAAAAACGUGUCUCUCCACCCUCGCAAAUGAAUGAAAUUGAUUAGUGUGUGUCUUCACCCUAUACACUUUCCUCAUUCCCUAAACCCAUUUUUCCUAUCCAAUGAAUGAUAUUGAUUCAGACAGAAGAUCAAAAUCGUCUAUUCAAGACCUAAUCAGCGUUAAAGUCUUACUCUUUUAUACAUACAAAAACCAUGAUAUCAUUGCAAGAAAAUGACCAAACAGAGAUUUUGCGAUAGAAUUGGGACAAGUUCAACCAAAAAUGAUAGCUAAUUAAUAAAAAGAUGACUUUAAAAGUUGAAUAAGAACAUUUAAAAAAAGAAAGCUUCAGCUGAUCGUGACAGAACAGUCAUGUGAGAGUAGAAAAAGGGUUCAAAAUCUGUCAAGAAUCGUUUUACUUAGGCUUCUGCAGUUGUGCUAGUAUGGACCUCUCCCACCACGGUAAGAAUAUGGUCCAGCGUUAAACAGCUGAGACUGCAUUGUGGGCUGCGUUUGGGGAUUGAAAUCCAUCUCCGAUCCUAACUGUUGUUGGUUGGGAUAGCUCAGAUCUACACCAAAUGAACCUGACGGUCCACCUUGUCUUACUGUUGACAUCUGGCCACUCAAAUACUCAUUCAGGUACCCAACCAGAUCUGAUACUAGCAGAGAUUGGUUUGGUGUAACCGCAGCUGGUCUUAUGAAAUUCUGGUGCUGGUAGUACAUUAUUGGAGCUUGGUUUUGGACUAGAUAUGGGAUAGUGCCCCUUUGGUUCUGCUGACUACUCUCAUGUCUCAUGAAUUGCUGGUGCCACAUCAUUGGAGCUUGACUUGGGAAAAGAUUAAUGCCCAUUUGGUUCUGCUGGUUGGUCUGAGGUCUCAUGAAUUGCUGCUCUUGCUCGUACAUCAUUGGGUGCUCUUGCUCGUACAUCAUUGGCUGCUCUUGCUCGUACAUCAUUGGCUGCUCUUGGUGGUUGGUCUCAGGUCUCAUGAUUAGCUGCUCUUGCUGGUACAUCAUUGGUUGAUAUUCCUGCAAACAAAAAAUUCGGCUGGAAUUGUCUUGUGCCCCACGGUUUGGUUCAUAAUGAUAUGAAGUCCUUCCCAAAACUUCCAUUGGGCCGCACUCACCUUCUUCUUCUUCAACCAAGUCAUACACUCAUAUCCAGUUGGAUAAUGAAAUCUUUUGUACAGAUCCUCUUCCGUAAUAUGUUGUGUAAAUUCCUCUAUGAACGAGAGACCCAUACCUUCAGGGAUUUGCAUCUCUGAAUCCUCCACUUUCACAAUAUAGUCAGGAUUCGUUACAGAUCCAAAGAAGUACCCAUCCACACGACCUAAUGGGACUUUUGUUUCAGUGAUCAAUAGCAUAGUACCUACAUUCAAAGGUUUGUGAUCUCCCUUGUUCGUAACUACCAAAUAUUGUACCUGUAAUGACAAAUUAGGUUUAAACUCAAGCAUGCUGAGACAAUAAUAGUAUAAGUUCUUCAGAGAAUAUUACCAUAUUCACAACUCCAGCAGGAACAGUGGGUGGCUUGAUGCGCUUCAUCUAGUUACGCUUUUUAUUGAGCAAGUAGCUGCAUAUAUAUAUAUAUAUAUAUAUAUAUCUCUCAGGUACGAAUAUUAUUUGUUUUUGUUUAGUAUCUCUAGUACUUAUCCUCCUAGAUAUUCUUAGAUUAUUCUAUUGAAUCCUGUAACUAACAAUGACUGUUCCGUUUAGUUUGGUUCAGUCCGGGUUUGGUAUGGUUUAUUGGACCUCCGUUGAUUAGUAAGUAGAAGGGUUUUAGACAAAUAAAUAUGUUACAGGCACAAAUACACUUAGUCACACACAUACUAAAAGAAUACAACACAGAGCAAGUUCUAUGAGCUUUUAAAGUUUUAAUAAAACAAGUUCAAAGAAUCGAGUAACACACCAUUUUACAGUAGAGGUCUUCAACCAAUACAUAUUACUAACACAGAUGAUUCAAGAUUCACAAAAAGAAACUCUGCACCAAUCGAAUCAUCGCCCAUUGGAAGCAAGCACAUUGAUCCUUUCCCCUGAGCCACUUCACAAGGCUGUAGAAUCAGCUUAAGCCUCCUUAAGCCUCCUUCUGAGGCUUUGGCUUUUUUUUUUUUUUUUAUGUGUCUGGUUUAGUUCCCUAUGUUGUUGUUGUUGUUUCUGAGAACUGAACAUCUCUUGUUUCCACGAAUUCACAGAGAUGAUCCGAUAAAAAAAUGCUUCUUUACAAUUCACUAGUCCGCGGUAGAAUCACCCGAACCAUGACGCUCUCUUCUGAUCAUAUCUAGUAGAUCUUGAACAACUUCUGACAUCAGUGGUCUAAAUUCUGGUUCAGACUAGAAAAGAAAUAAAACUCUUUUGGUCACGCAAACACAAUCACAAGCAUCUAACCACAGUUUCUAAUUGUCAGUAUGUGUUUUACCUGAACACACCGGGAUAUUAUAUCAGCAAAGUGUGACAAUGACUUUGCAGGGUAUUGUCCAUUAAGAGAUGGAUCAACCAUUUUGCCCAAUGCAUCGAUAUCAUGAAGCUGUGGGAUUGCCCACCUCACCAAGAACUGCUCUCCUCUACUCCGGUCCCUAUAAUCGACUCGUUGAUAUGAAUAAAUGCUUAACCGGAAACAGAAAACUAAGCAAAUAAAACAAUGUGACAUGCAUACCUAUCGUAGGACAUUCUACCCGUCAAUAGUUCUAACAUAACAACACCAAAACUAUAUACAUCACUCUGCCAUGUAUAGAUUCCAGAGUCGAACUCUGGAGCUCCAUAUCCGUAAGCGGCUAGCAAUUGCCCUGAUAACUGAUUAUCAUUAUAAGAAAUAGUUUAGUCUAACAUCUUGAAAUCUGUAGAGGGUAUAUCCAUCAGAAUCAAGCUCAUUGGGUUUAAGUAUUUUACCUGACUCACAGAGCCUGAUGAUAUUAGUGGGGCCAAACCACAAUCUGAGACAAGAACACUCAGGUCAUCGUCGAGUAGAACAUUGGCUGAUUUGAAGUUUCUGUGUAUGAUAGGUGGUUCACACACCUCAUGCAAGUACCUUGAAAGCAUUAACAAAAGUUAGCAAUCAGGUAGAAAACACAGUUGGACACUUCCAUUUUGAAGUAAAUAAAAGAACUUACUCAAGGGCUCUAGCAGCUCCAAGUGCCAUACUGACACGGGUAUUCCACGAAAGUUUCUUCUUGAAUUCAUCGUCUGAAUGCAACCCGUCUUGUAACGUACCGUUACUGCAAUAUUCGUAGACCAAUAGUCUUUGAUCGUGCUCAGCACAGUAACCCACAAGUUCAACGAUAUUGGAGUGGCGAAUCAUAUCUAUAUUGUUCACUAGUUCGAUAAAUUCGUGAUCCUGUUGUUGUUCAGAAGCCCUCUUGUCCAACUUCUUGACAGCAAACAACUGUGAAAGACAAAAGACUGAGAACCAAAGCAGAAUUUCUGAGACUGAAAUGUUUGAAUUCAAUGCAUUAUACCUUUCCAUUGGGAAGCCGGGCCCUAUAAACACUACCGAGCAUGCCUGAGCCAAUGAGAUUUUCCUGAGCGAAGCUUUCCGUGUAUUGUUGAAGAGAAGCAAUAGAAUAGUGCUUCACAGAAGUUAAGGGUAAGCGUUUAGGGGAAGUUUUCUUAACGGGUCUUUCGGGUGAUAUGAUUGGCAUAACCGUGACCUUCUCAUCCAAAGGAGGAGGUGGUGGUGGUGGUGGAGGUGGUGGAGGAGGAGGCAUCAACAUUGAAAAGUCAAUAUCUUGACUUUCCUGUCUUGAUAUAGGUGCAGGUCUCCGCAGCCUCUCAAGGUCAUGUAAGACCUUUGGUUCCUCUCCAGCUUUCUUGAAGGGUUCUCUUUGAACUGUUCAUAAGCACAAGACCAGCAUUACUUAACAAUAGACAGUAGGAACCAAUAGCCAAACUUGCAAACUUCAAUCUCACCUUUUUCAGAUCGACCAGGUGGUGGCAGUACCGGAGUCCCGUUUUCCAGAGCAUUCUCUCUGCUUCCUCUAUCAGCACCAACUUGAUGCGGUUUGAAAACUCUGUUAGCAUGUUCUCUACGUCUUGCACAUUUUGGCAACAGCAAGAGUAUUGCCAAAACCAGAAUUAUGAAGACGAGGACGCCAGCGAAUGCAAUAAGGAUUAUCUUUUUAGUAUGUGAAGAGUUCUUUCCCUUUGAAUUCUCAGAGCUCGAUCCUUCUGAAUCAGAAGGUCCAUCAGCAACUUUCCCUCGAUUCCUCUCAUUUGGAGGAGGUGGAACUCCAGAAAAUGGUCGCGUUGGAGCUGGUUUUGUUGGAGAUAGAGACGGAGACAAUGAUGGUGCAGUCGAGGUGGAAUUGAUCAUUGUGGCAUUGAACGGGUUUCCUUCAUGUCUGCAUCACCAAUUUAUACACAGAGCAAUUAUAAGAACCUGAAAUGCCUCCAUAGACCAUAGUGUAUUAGUAAACAAAAGAGCACUUACAGGAAUUUCGGAAUGCUUAGUAAUUUGUCCGGUAUGGGUCCAGAGAAGAGGUUAUUCUCUAUGUUUCUGUUUCAAGAAGACAACAAAAACUAAGAUUUUGGAAAAGUUACUCACUGCUUAAGUACUUAUACGUUGUGAGAGAAAGAAACAUACAAGUCUUGAAGAGGAAGGCCUUGAAGAACGUCCAGAGUUCCUGAGAGCUGAUUGUUCUGAACACGUCUGCAAAACUCAGACUAUCAGCUUUGUGAAGAAAGAAGCCAAAAGAGAUUCAACAUUGUAAUGAUCGAAACUUACAAUGUUGUAAGAGUUAAUAAAUUCUCCAUAGAAGGAGGCAAUGUGCCGCUUAUAUUGUUAGAUGAUAUAUCACUGCACAAAGAUAUCAAAUCACAAAACAAUCCAUAGAAACAAUAACUGUUAACAAAACUACAAACAAGAAGAAGCAUACAGAUUAAUCAGCCCGACAAGGUUUUGAAACACGUCGGGUAGCUCUCCAGAGAGAAGGUUAUCGUUCAAAGACCUGAAAACAAAUGGUAUAAUUCUCACCAGUCAUCAGCACAAAGCAAUGGAAAAAAAAGAAUUUGGGAGUUAUCUGAACUUACAUGUCAUUCAGAAAACUCAAUGUUCCUAGAGAUUCCGGGAUGCUUCCGGUGAACUGAUUAGCUGAAAGAAAACUGCCAAAAGGUAAAAACCAUUAUCAUACAAACUGUUCAAAGCAACAAACCCGAUCCAAAAAAAUAUACAGUGUUAGGUGUAUACAUACAAAUGCUGCAAUGUAACCGGCAAAGUAGAAGGUAUGCUUCCUCCAAUGCGAUUGUUGCUGAAAUCUCUGGAGAUAUGUAAAGAAAAUACAAAAGGUUAGAAGAAAUAUCCAAUUUGACUUGUCAAAAAUGUCACAUUUUGUGUCCAAUGCGUACAUUCCCCUGAUAGAAGUGAACUUAGCUAAGUUGUCACCAAGCUCUCCUUGCAAAUUUGCAGCAUUUACAGUUCUGCAACCAUUCAAGAUAGAAUUAACAGAGCAUUGAUACAAAAGAUAACUCAAAAGUUGUUGAUAUCUCUGAAAGACGCCCUUACAUGCUUAUAAUAUCUGAAACAUUGCAGAUAAUGCCUUGCCAAGCUUCACCACAUGGGUCUCCACCAGAAGCAAUCCAACCAGGAAGAACAGGUGCUCCAAGUGCAGCGAAUAAUCCGUUAAUUGCAGCAACUGAUUCACAAUUACAACAAUGCUGAUUAAUUCUCAGAAACUCAUGAACAAAAUCUAAAACUCCUCAACCAAUAAGCACAGAUCUCACUCUAAAAUUCAGUGAGACAAAAUGUAAUUUAGAAGCAAAAAUAAGUGCUUACCAUCAUCAGGGUUAGUAGCAGCUAAGGAGAUCGAAGGAAUCCAGAUCAGUAAAGACAAGAGCAGAGGAAGAAGAAGAAGACAGUAGAUAGAUCUCUUAGCAGCCAUUGUUCCAAGUCAGAGUAGAGUAAAACGAAACAUCAAUCGAACAAAACGAUGUCCACGAAUCUGAAAGCGACAAGAUCCAUAAGGGAGGAAUUAAACAAGUAGCAAUCUUGAGAAGAGGAAAGAUUACAAAAAACUUACUGGAAAAGCAGAGGAAUCGUCAUCAACGAGCUUUAAUGGGUUGGUGAAAUUAAAACGAAUAAAAGGGUAAAGUCUUUUCCUUUAAAUUCCCAAAAACCCAAUCCUGAGAGAUAAAAAAAAUGCAAACUUUUCUUUUUUUGUGGGUGAGAAUGAGAUUUAAGACGCAACGUAAGAGCUAAGGUUCAAUGAACUUUCGUCGUUGAAGUAAAUUUUACCCUCAAUAAUUUGACACUUGAGAAUAAAGCUCGACACUCGAGGAAUGAAUCAUAAUAAUCAGAGAAGAAAACCCAGAACGAAAAAGGAAACUUUUUCCUAAUUUAAGCGGUGGGACCAAAACCUGCAAAUUAAGAAGAAAGAACUGGAGAAAUUCAGAAAUUAUUUGGGUUUAAGACAGAGUUUAAGUUCUUCAUUACUGAAACUGUGUUUAUAGAUUUGUUUAUUUAGAAACAAAAAUUUGACUGAUGCUUCUAUUUGCUUGAGAUCAGUACUAAAAAGUCAUAAUUAAUGAUAAAGUCUACUUAAUUAAUCAAUGAUUUAACUUAAUGGAUGUGUACAACUGUAUCCCUAUAUUAUGUUUGAGGACAAGUUGCGUCAAGAUUCUAAUCCGACCAAAGACUUGUUUCAAUAAUAGUUGUCAAUUUUAAGGACGAUAACGAGAAUAAUUGGAUGUUAGUUAUACCGGACGAUGUCUCAGUUUAAUCGGUGUUAACCGGGUCUAAACCGCUGGUUAAGAUAAAAGGUUGAAUGGUACGCGCGUGGAGGAGAGACGGUGAAAAGACGUUGAAAUGGUAACGGUAAAAGACAAAAUUAGCCGCAAGGAAAAAGAUUAGUUGGAAUUGGAUUCCCAUUACUGUUUUCUUGCUGGCGAGUGUCACGUGUUCUUCACUGUCAGAUGACGUCACUCACUUCCACGUCAGCUCCUCAUCCACUUCUCAUUAGUCUGACUAACUUUAAUCAUAGGUUAAGAAAACAAUGUAUUGUUGAUAACAUUGCAAUCUUUGUAUGAUUAUAGUGAUCUUCUUAUAAGGUUGUUAUGUGUUUUAGUUUUUGAUCUUUCUCCACAUUUUUUUCCUUUUCUAACUCUAUUGAUGAAAACUUUAUAAUAAUUUCGCUUACAUUGUUGUUACCCACAUGGAGAGAUGGAUGAUGGAUGGGCCAACAAACAAAUCCUCUGAUAUUUUUUGCUUGGUUGAUUAUGGACCGUUGGAAUGUGAUGUGUGUGGAAAAAAAAUAACCAAUCUUGGAGUUUUGCUGGGGAAAAAAUUAAAAAGAAUAUUCAGAUACAUCGAUUAGUGAGAUGGUAUAGUUCUGUUCAAUCGUUAAAGAAGUUAUAUGUUAACAAAUAUCUAGAUGUUUCUAAUUUGGGGAUAUUCGACAAACAUAUUUUUGACCUCUCACCUUUACAUGCAAAAUGUGUUCGUUUUUAGACGGUGUGCGGUAUUAAACAAGAUGAUCAAAAAUAUUCUUGAUUGGUCUAAUUUUUUUUUUCAGAAUUAGACAUAUUUUUGGAUCUUGGUUGGUAAAUUUUAAAGCAUUUACGAAUAUUACACUUCACACGUUUGAAUAAUGUUUUGUCGCUUGCAUGGGUAGAAAAAUACGAUCACGAGAUUCUAACUUUUUUCAUGUAAGUUUUUUGGUUGCUAAAUGGCUCAUGAGUAUUAGUGAUCAUAGUGUGUAUGAUAUUACAAAAAAAAAAAUGAUUUUUUUGGUUCGUAUACAUGCAUUUGAGCAUUUCAGUAUUUGUGUGUAUACUUUCUCUAUACCUGCCAUGCAUGUUUGAUAAAAUUAGCCUCAGAUUUUCAAAUUAAGAAACGUGUUUGUUCUGUUUUUAAUUUGGUUGGAAAUAUACUCAACGCUCUGAUACCUACUUUUUGCUCUAAUAAAGUUUCGGAAUUUAUAACGAGAUUUCAAAAAAAAAAUACUAAGAGAAAUCUCACCGAGUUCUAAAGAUUGGGUCAUUUUUUAGGCCUAGCCUACGUUGGACAGGGUAAAAGCCCAAACGGAGCCUUUUCUCCAAUUAGACGAGUCAUAGGUAAAUUUACGAGUAUGCAUGUAUGUGCAUUUAUAUAUUUAAAUGUAAUGCAUGCACUAAUAGUACAUGUAAACAUGAAUGAUACUGUUGACAAGAAUUCAUCUGGUUAGAAUGUAAAAGCAAGAAAAAUGUGUGCCACACACUCUUAGUUAACAGUAACAGUAUGCGCCAUCACUCCCUCAACAUCAAUUCAACAUUAUUCAACAUCUAAUAAAUGUUUUCUUUUCCAUUUUGUAUUCUAUCAAUUCAAUUUAGCCCACUUGUCUCUCUCUCUGCCUUUGCCUUUUAAUGCUUCUUUGAGACAUCUAAUAAAUGUUUUUAUUGUUUGAUUUUUAUCAAAAUUAUGCCACUUCUUUUUCCUUUUAUCAUGCAUUCUUCAUUUUUCAAUCGUGUUAUAUGGCCCUUAUCAAAAUUAUGUAUAGUUAUACUUGUGACAUGAUCUCUCGACCAACAACUUUAUGCCACCCCACACUAUUGAGUAUUGACUAUUGUAUGGUUAUUUCACCUUAAGCUUAUAGUGGAACAAUGCAAAGAAAAGAAAAAAAAAACAAUGCGAAGAAAAAAUCUAGUUUGUAUGCUAAAUCAAUGCAAUUUUAUGAAGUUGUGAAUGACUUAUGCAUGCACUAUAUAGUAAUCUUAAGUUCUUAACUACUUAGUACUUACUAACAAACAUUCUUUUCCACUUACCUUUAUAACAACUUGUAAAGACUAUCGGGAUUUGUAUCCUUGGUUUAAGCUGGUGUUGUCGAUGUCUCAUAAUCAUAUAAACUGAAAAAGAAACGAUUUUCUAAUUUUCGAAAUACCAAAAUUUAGUAACUCCAUUGUUUUUAACCAAAAGAGUAACAUAAUCCUUUUAUUCUUCAUUGUAAAUGGUCAAAACUGAGUACACUAACACAGCCGCCAUGGAAUCACAAAGAUAAAAACACAAAACUAAAUUUAGUAAUCAGGUUUCUAGUCAUAAGCUGAACUGCGAAAUCUCUUGAUAGUAGAAUCAUUAAGUAUGUCAAGCAUAACAGAAUUGGUCGUACACCUAGGAGUCUUAAACUGGUUCAAGCCACCGCAUUUCCCAACGCACCUUUCCGCCACUUUCCCAAACGUUCCUCGUUCCACAACUCGUAGCUCAAGCGGUCCGAUCGAGUUCAUGCGCCUCGACACUACAUAACCAUAGUCCACAAAAGCAGUAUCCAUCUCUCUGCAACAUUCUUCAAGAGCCUUAUCAUCUGCUUCUCCUCUGAUUUCCCAGUAGAUUACAUAGUGACCAGGACGAGCUAUAACGUCUGCGUGGCUUGUAAAGUCAACGACUUCAGCUCGUGUGGAUCGGCUCAGAAGCUGAGACGCCUUGUCAACAACUCUCUGAAGAUCCUUCUCUGUGUUUUUGUCAAUGUUGAUGGUUAAGAUGAGUUUUCUUCUGUAUAUGAAACUUAGCUUCGGUGUGCCUUUGUGAAAACUGGUCACUUCAACUACGUCUCCUAAUCUGUACCUAUAAAGACCUGAACAGAGCGAUAAAACAGAGUAAGUGGUGAAACAGAUGACGCAAAAAGCUCGUUGAUUAUAACAAUUGGUUAUGGAAAAUGCAGAGGAGGUUUUUCUUUACCUGUGAAAGUGGUUAGAACAAGUUCAUACUCCUGCCCGAGUUUGACUUGAGAGAGCGGCACAGGUUUAUCUUCGACAAAGUCACCGUCAAUGCAUAUGUCUGAUUGAUUCUGCCGCCUGUAAAGUGGUAUAAACUCGAAGUAACUAAAAGUGGGAAUCACAGCAAAGCUCACGUCUUCUGGGGGAAGAUGAGGAUCAACGUUCACACCAAUCCAGCUCUCGGUUGACCCGUAAUCUGCGCUCACCAGGGGCAAACCGCCAGCGUAAUGCCUCAGCUUAUUCAGGUACGGCAGCAUAGAACCCGUCAUGAUUGAGGAGAUAAAUUUUGCAUUUGGCCAAAGCUUUGAAAUCAAACCGAACCAUCCGAGAUUUGUUUCCAGCUCUAAGCAGAUCUCCUCGAUAUGAGAAGCAAGAGACGGGUUUGGUCUGAUCAGAGCCAAUACAGCUUUUCUCAUCUUGGGCAGAGUGAUUCUUGAGCUAAGAUUACCUUCCUUGAUGUCAGCACAUAUCUCUCUCCAGAUUUCUUCGAAAAAGGAGAAAGCUUGGACAAUGGUGUAAGAAAAAGCAGAGGCGACAAACUCUACUUGGCUGGAGUAAUGGAGACCAAGUAGGAGAUGACAAUACGUGCACUGACCGAAAUCACCUCCUGAGAUGACCUCUUGUGGGCUACAAGUGAAGGAUUUUGUUGUCUCUUGCUUAGUUUUAAACUCUUCGCUCGCAUAGUAAUGUGUUGUGGCCGUUCCUACUGUCAAUCCUCCUAGCGUCUUAAAUUCCUUCCCGGCGUAUAUAAACUCAAGAAUCCUCCCUCCUUCCCUUAUUGGAUAAAACCUUUAAAAGAAAGCAUAGUAGGAAUUUAUGAGAUAAUGAAGAACUUUUUAAUGGAAAAGAAUAGACAAGAAAUGAAAACAGACCUUGAUCUGUAAGCCGCUGAUAAUCGGAAAAUCUGAAGAGUAGUUUGCGCGCUAUGGCGAGUAAACGGAACAUACUUUUGUCUCCCUUCUGUUGUUCCAGAGCUGCGUCAUAAAGGGAGUGAAAAGGGAUCAAUACAGAACAUAUAUCACAUACACAUAAACACAGAUAUCCAUAGAUGCAUGUAGAAAUAUACCUGAGGGACAGAACAGUGAUGGGUUCUUGUGUAAGUAAUGGAGAAGUCUCUCCAUCUGCAAUUCUUUGAAUAUAAGGAUCUAAAUCAGCAUGUGAAACAAUAGGCACCAAGGAAGUAAAGAGAGUUUCCAAAGUAUAAUCGUCCAUCUUUUCUACAUCAACAGUCCCAAGCCAUUUCCUCAGAUACUCCACUCCGGAGUUGAGCUCAAGAAUCCUUCGUAGCGUCUCGCUUUGGACCUUGCAGGCAUUUUCCGACACAUGCUCGAACCAACCAAUAACAUCAUCAUGCCCCGCUUCUACAGUUUCCAUCCAAUACCAAGUCUUUCAAGGCAGUAUAGUAUCUCAACGAUGCAAAAUGAGUAGAAGUCCUAACCCAACAUAUAGGGGAGUACUGGUCAUUGACCACUCCCUUUGUCUUCAGACAAAAGAAAUUUCUUUGUGUGUAUAGUUGUUCUCACCUUUUUUGGGUCUCCUUAUUUGUCUUUUUAAUAGGAAAAACAUCACAGAUACCUCCAUAAAUGUCACGGGAAUUACCGUCCACAAAUUCUAUCAACACUUAAUACAGCUAUUAAUGCGUUCUCACAGAAGAGUAUCCCAGUCUCAACAUGUGCUCAAGAGACAAACCUUAACCACAAUGUAUUUUGCAACUAUCAUCCAGUGUGGUCCCAUGAAAGCCUCUUUGCCUCCUAAAAACCAAAACCCCUACAUCAUGUUAGCUAUCUUUCAACUGCUUUCCCUGUUAAUAAUUCAGUGAACAUAGCCACAAAUAUGGACAUUAUUAAAUGAACAGAGCUCUCAAACACCUAUUUGAGCAAAAUAGCAUUAGAAAAUUUUAGUUCUUCCUAUAAUGUGGCUAACCUUUUGAUGUUUCUUUCUCUGCAAAUAUCUGGAUAAGCAUGUAGGACCAAAGCUACCAAGCAUCACAAGUUGCACAAGAUAUUUUUUCUUUUGGGCAGGCUGGCUCUUCCCUCAACCUCAACCUUCACAGGCCCACCACUAGUUUCAACGGGUCUAACAUUUAAAGUCCCUUCACUUUCUAUCUCUCUCCUCAAUCACUAUGUGCACAAAAUUCCAACCAUGGUUUUGCAAGUCGAAUGAAUCUCUUUAGCCUUUUUCUCCCUCAUUAUCUUCUUGAUGGGUAAUUAAAUCCUAAAACAUCUUAUCAAAGCUCCGUAAAGCAAAGGACUAGCUCCACGUUAAUCUUAGUAUAAGCCAAAAACAGAAUUGUCACCAGCUCAUCUUACCUCCAAGAUAACCAAACAAAAAACGUGGGUAGUACAUGACCAUUCUUUGAGAAACAUUCAAACUGCUUUCAAGAAGUGAUUAUCUCCUAACCAGACGAAAACUGUUAGGGUACACAGUACAUCUUUGGAAUUUAGGUACACAGUAUCAUUCAUCCCUGGUUGGUGAACUCGGAAUUUGGGUACACAGUACAUCUUUGGAUGCAACACACAGAAAAAUCUAAGCUGUCCCCAUACGGAUGAAUCAUUAACGUGGUGUAUUUGACUACAUUUGGCUUGGCCUCCUUAACGAAUCAUAUUGCAGAAAAACCACAUAACCUUCAUGUAAUUUUCCCUUCUUGCAGAAUCUCCAAUCACUAAACUACAAGCCUGAAAGUCACUUCUCAUCCAAAUCUUGAUACAAAGCUAGGCAAUACUCAAAACCUGCAUCAUUGUCAUAUCAUUUCUCUACCCUACCUUACAAUACUCCUUGAUCAUGCCUGUUGUAAGUAACAUGUAGUCUGAUCCUGCAACUGCCCACAAUCUCAAAUACAUGCUUUGUCAAAUCAAUGAAACAUCAAGCUCACCAGAGAAUUUGAAGUAUGCAAAUUGGGUUCAAUCCCAUUUUCUCUUACCUUACGCCUAAACCCUCCUCUACCAUUCCAACCAUUCCAAAACUCAUAAUCAGAGAAUUGGCCAAAAAAAAUCAGAAAAGACCCAAUUUUUUUCUAAUUUGAUCACAACCUAAUCCUAUCAACAUCGUUAACCAAACAAAGCCAAUACAUUUACCAAGGAUAUACGUAUGCAUAUUGCAAAGAUCACCCGAUUUUAUGAAUUUCAGAAAAAACCUUCCGCCUGAUUCUCUUGAAUCGUUUUGAUCAGACUGCCGUAUCGGCGGAGACCACGAUGGUGUAGUCCUUGAACAUGUCUAGAUCUUAAACCAAAACGGUAGGACUCGAAGCAACUGGUCCUAUGGUCUAGUGGUCAGGACAUUGGACUCUGAAUCCAGUAACCCGAGUUCAAAUCUCGGUAGGACCUUUGUUUUCGGCUUCGGUUUUGAGAUUGUGCAAACCGGUUUUUAACCAAAUUAAAACCCACCGGUUAUUGGUUUUAAUUUAACCGAAACUCGGUUCGGCUCAGUUCCUACCGUUUGGUCACCAAAGUCUGCUGCUUCUUUUUUGUUCUCUAAGUCUAAAAACCUCUCCUUUGGCUGUGAGAGAGCCAACGAGAAGAGAAAAAGUAUCUUCCUUUGAGAAGUGCAAGUCCAUGGCAGCUCUCUGUUGUUGUCCCACCACCAUCAUCGUCUCCGGGAAGGUUUCUUCACGGAUUAAAACCGCAGGCCCAUUACCCCGAAUCAACCCUUUUAAGAAUCAGAAACGAUUGAUUACAGAGAGAAGAAACUUGAUCGUUAAAUCGAUCAUUGAAGACAGAGAAGCAAUCGAUGUUAAAAAUGACAAUUUCAAGGCAGAGGAAGAACUAUCAGAAGAUAAAGUAGAAGAUACAGAUCGGCUGAUGAGUCGAGGUAUCAACGCAGCUAUAGUUCUCGCCGCCGGUACCGUUGCGGUUACUAAGCUUUUAACCAUUGAUCAUGACUAUUGGCAAGUAAGCUUAGGGUUUUCUUUAUCUCUCUUGUGAUUGAUUGGUUCUUCUAUCUCUGCAAAGCUUGCUCCUUUAUGGGAUUAUACUGAAAUUGAUAUCACGAUUGUUGUUGUUCUUCUUAGGGUUGGACUCUCUACGAGAUACUUAGGUAUGCACCUGAACAUAAUUGGUUUGCGUAUGAACAAAUUCUCAAAACAAACCCUGUUUUGGCGAAAAUGGCGAUUAGUGGAAUUGUGUAUUCUUUAGGAGAUUGGAUUGCACAAGUAAGAAACUAAAAAUACUCUAAAAAGCUUCUUAAUUUGAGUUCUCUCUGACCAUUUUGGCUGUAACUUUAUGCAGUGUUACGAAGGAAAACCGCUGUUUGAGUUUGAUCGAACUCGUGUUCUUAGAUCAGGUCUUGUUGGAUUCACACUCCAUGGUUCACUGUCUCACUAUUACUACCAAUUCUGUGAGGUAAAAAUCAAUCUUUGCUCUGUCAAGAUAUGUUGUAUUAACAACGGGCUGAAAGCUAAAAUCUUUUCUUUGUACAAGGCUCUCUUUCCUUUUCAAGAAUGGUGGGUAGUCCCUGCAAAAGUCGCAUUUGAUCAAACCGUAUGGUCUGCAAUUUGGAACAGUAUCUACUUUACAGUUUUAGGGCUCUUGCGUUUCCAAUCUCCAGCUGACAUUUUCAGCGAAAUCAAGACAACAUUUUUGCCAAUGCUCACUGUAAUUAACUCUCCUUGCCCUGUGUCUUCGUGAUCAUAUAUAAAGCUUAAAGUUAGUCUGUUGAUUUUAUCUAAAGGUUAUGUCAUGAUUUUGUCUAUGCAGGCAGGCUGGAAACUCUGGCCAUUGGCACACUUGGUUACAUACGGUGUAAUCCCUGUAGACCAAAGGCUUCUUUGGGUAGAUUGUAUUGAACUCAUAUGGGUCACUAUAUUAUCAACGUGAGCCUUCUUCAACUUCAAUCUUUUUUAUCCAAUGUAUUUGAAAGUGUUGCACAUAUUAGCUUUGUGGCUAUCAUGAAGAGAAGUUUUGUGUUGCUAAUAUCGGUUGCCUGAUUUUCAUUUCGAAUUCUGGAAGUUACUCGAACGAAAAAGCUGAGGCGCAAGCAUCAGAGGAAACGAACUCCAGUUCUCACUCAAGCGAGGUUUGCCAAGUGUUCCUUUUUUCCAAGAAUCUCUCUUCAAAAAUUAGUCUUGAGCGUUUGAAUGUUUGUUCAGAGUGUUCAUCUAAGCUAAUUUGUGCCUGCAAAUACUUGACAGGAUUAGGUGAUAUCAGCAUGUAGAUUCUAGAUUCUAUAGACUCUAACAGGAGGUGGAUGAAGAACACAAGCACAUAUAUACUUUUUUUUUGUUUAGAGAGAUACCUAAAAGCAAUGUAUAUACACAUUUGAUUCAUGGAUUCCAAGAGAGAAUCGAUGAGGCAAAUCCAUUGUGCAAUACAGAUACAUCAAACACGAAACACCAGCAAAACAAAUACAGAUCAAGCUGCGCACAAUGCUCAAGCAUAACAACGAAAAAUGACAACAUUCUUCAAGAUCAGUCCUCAGAAAUAACAUUAAAAGCUAAUCUCAAGUCUUCGAUUUCUCUUCAGAGAAUCUCGGAAGCUGGACAAGUGAGUUCACGCGUGUGACGCCUUGUAGACCCAACCAGUUUUGAUCUCCUACCGUUUUCUCAUCCUCUGCAUCAGUCUCUGUAUUCACGUUACCAUAAGUCUCGUUUUCUUGAUCUGAUGAUGAUCUAACUGUGAAGUUUCUUUGGAGACAUGGUUCUGAUCUUUGGCCAUCAUCUGAUUCUACAGCAUUUGUGGCUGAAGAGAAGCCUUGUUCAUCAUAAUCCGACUCAGAAUCCAUUUUCCCAUCCAGAAACAAACAUACCACUGCACAAUCAUCCAUUUUGGAAGUCGGGUACUUCAGUUUCCAUUCACGCGCAGCCGAGUUCACCAAGGUCCUAGCCGCUGAUGCCCGGCUUGUAGCUGAAGCUACAAUGUCAACCACUUCUUCGUUGCUUAACACAUCCCAUACCUGUUCAAUAAAGCUCAAAAAUCAGUAAAGCCUUUGUCUUGAGGCUCAUAGGCUAAUAAGAUCACUCGUUUACUUACUCCGUCAGAGGCAAGAACAAUGAAUUGAUCUCUGUCUGUAAGAACACGGUGAGUGAACUCAGGUACUGAAAUGACUCCAUACUCUUUUAGACAGAAGUCACCAAACGCCCUGGCCAUGGCUAAUCCAGGUGCAUCAUCAUAAGGUAGCCAGACUCGCGGCACCUCUGGCUCGUCUUCCAUCGCAAAUACUCGACCUUUACACCGUUUGAUCCUCUCAGCUUCCCCUAUCAGACCCACAAAACAGUAACAUCCUAUUAGAUAAAUGCAUACAAGCCAGGAAAAAAGAUUUCGAAAAAGUGUUAAGCAUACUAGGUAAAUCCGGCUUCAGAUCAACUGUCAGUUGAGUUGCCACCAUAGAAUCGUUACUGUCUUUUGAUCCAAGGAUGGCCCGAGAAUCCCCGAUGUUUCCCAUGAAGAGAUUAGACCCCUGAACAAUCAAAAGAGAUGAUUAAAGAAAACAUGGUUGAAGCUGAAAGAGAGCUCUUUGUUCUCUAAGUGUACCUGUUUAAGAAUUGUUACGCCAGUGCUGCCACUACAAAAACAGUCCAGAUUAGGAUGAGACCGCAGUUCCUUAUCCAUGGCUUUAAAAGAUUUCAAGAAAGCUUCUCCCCAUAAGCCUUUAAGUUUAUCCUCGUCAGAUCCUUCUUUAACAGCUUCUUGGACAGCUGAUUUGCUUGAAUUUCUUCUGAAUCGAGUUCCUUUAGAACAGUUUUGCUUCGACUGAAGCGUCUGAAAGAAAAACUGUAACUUCACAGGCAAUGUAUCUCUCACUUUACGAGCAACAAGAUGGCCAUAAGGACCAUGACCAUCAAAUACACCACAAAAUGUCACAUCUUCAGACAUAAAAUCCUACAAAGCAACAAAGAAAUCCGGCUUUAUAGUUGACCAUAGUGUUAGAAAUACAAUAGAAAGAGUCUGAAGAACUCACUUCCCACACAAUCAUGGCGUCCUGAUUAAUACCCUUGCGUCCUUGUUGAGUGAAAAUGCAAGAGCUCCUGCUCUUGCUGCUGCUGGUGAUCCGAUUUGGUAUAGAAGUCAAGUUCUGCAACGAGACAAUGUGGUCUGAAAACGUUCUCUUCGCCCUUUUGCUCACACAACAACCAAUCCCGAGAUAUGGUCGACGCACAGGCUUCUCUCCAUUGCUCCAGCUGCUACACGUACUCUUACUACUAGUCGACACACAACCCCCCAUUGUUUAAUCCCAGCCUAGACAAUAAGGUUGUUAUAUAGCCACACACAAAAAAACAGAUCUCCACCGUUAUGCUUAAGUAGAAAAUUUGGUCAAGCCAGAGCUUUUUAUGAGUGUUUUGUUAACUAGUAUAUACUCUCCGGGAAAGCCUUGGAUUCAAAUCUUGGUCAACGAUGGACUAUGACCUAAAAGCAAUAGAGACAAAUGAUUAAGUAGAUAGUUUAACAGCAGUUUCAAUAAGAUCACAGAGAUAAAUAAACCUCAAGAAGUAGUAAAGACCAAAUUCUAGCAUGUGAUCUUAGCAAUAGAAUAAAGGUAUGUAUUACCAAAAAGACUGUCUUGAGAUUGUUUAUCACCAUUGGGGAUCUUAUUAAUCUAUGUUCUGAGACUUGUUUACUAAUCCCUGUGAUUAAAUUAAUCAAAGUAGGACCUACAAGAAUCACAAAACAUGAAUCCUUAUGAAAAGAAAGCACAAAGAUCAAGAACAGAGUUUGCUCAUAUUUCUAUUCACACAUGAAUCCAGACGGAUUCUUGUGAAUAUCUCUUUGUAACUUGUUCUUUACAUCUGCCACAUAGACAAUAUUCAAAUUCUACUGGCGUAAAUCAUCAAUUCCUUUCAGGAAACGAGAGACGUUAAUGCAAAUCCUGAAGAACAGAGAGAUUCUUAAGCAACAAAGUUGCCGUUUUUAGAGAAAAGUAAAUCACUUUAUAGGAAUCCAAUGUCGUAAAGUGUGAAUCGAGUAAGAAGAAACUAAACCAAUAUUGUCUCAAAAGAAUUCGGAAACAAAACUAGCGCAGAGUGAUGAAGAGGAAAAACAACUAAAUGUCUGAGCAGAUCAGACAGUUUGCCUUAAACAUGGUAACAACAAGAAACCCACAAAGAGAAACAAACGAUUUGAGAUAUGAGCCAUUUCAACGCAAAAGAACGCACCUUUUGUUUGUGUAGAGGUUUCUGGAGAUCAAGAACAGUUGAUUCACAGACAGUUGAAACAGAGAGAGAGAGAGAGUGAGAAAGAGAGUUACUAAUUUCUCACUAAUUGAAACACACAAAGAGAGAUAAGAGAGAAAAACAAAGAUUUUAGUUUCCCCAAAAAAAAUCGUAUCUUUUUAUUUUUUAAAAAUUCAUGAAAGAGAUAUAUUAAAGCUGCUUUAGUGCUUUGCAAAUUACCUUUCUAAAUUCUAAACCACAUUUUGUAUGAAAUGAAAUUUUGAAUAAUUUUCCCAAACUAAUCAAGUCCAUACACUCUCCAUCACAAAUGAUUACUUUCUAUAAUAAUAAAAACAAAAAAACUUAAUGUAUAGUAGAAGUCUCUUCUAAAGGUUUUUAUACCAUGUAUAUAUGGUUUAAUUCCAAGAGAAUUGAGUUUAUCGUAUCUAAUGGUGCAAAACUUAACAAAGGUUUAGAAUGUCGCAAGCAAAUAUGUUUGCCGUAUAUUGCAGAAAAAAACAUGUCUACAUGUCAUGGACUUAAUGAUCUUAGGCUUUGAAUGGUGACACAUGUCCAAGCGCACAAAACCGUUUAUAUAUCGGACCGCUUUUUAUUUAUCGUUCACAAACUAUACUCACAAAACUAUACUCUGUAAUAGUGCGAAUUCAAGAAAAUAAAAGAAAAGCGCUGUGUACUAACUGCAGACCAUCUUUAAACUAAGUUUGUAGCGGUUUAUUGUCCGCCCCAAAAAUAAUAUGAAUUGAACCGCUGACGGAUCAGUCAGCACUAACCACAAUAUCCAUUCAAAACCUUAAUAUCUUGCGCACAAAGACAAGAGUACUAGAUUUGUCUAUUUUAAAAUUUUCUUUAAUCCCAUAUUAAUUAUAUAAAAAAAAUGUUUACAAUAUAAAAUUAGCAUGUAACUAAGUUAGUUGCUUUUAAGUAUUUUUUUGUUCAUCGGAAAUGAAAAUAAAAUAAAAAUAAAAAAUUGCAUUUGAAUCUAAAACAUGUUUUCUUGAUUGUUGCCGCAGGCUAUGAUGAUGAGGAUGGGCCUGAAUCUAAGCUUUGAUUAUAUUGCAUCACUAACAGUAAUACCUGUCUCUCGUCACCUACAUGAUUCAUCCCUUUUUUGUGUCGAACUUUAUUUUAUUUAAUCAUUUCACAAGUUCUGACUUUUCAGAUUUUGAGUGUAUGUAUAUGCAAGUGACAGAUAAUUUCAUCCACUUGGAUUCAUCUUAUCUUGUAAACUUUUCUAGUUGUGUUGAAAAAUACAUAUGUAAAUGUGUAAACACUCUUUCAUGUGUUCAUACUUCGAAAUUUCAUAUGUCGAUAUCAAUCAAAUAACCUUUUAGAUAUAUUUUUAUAUCUUCCCUCCCUUGUAUUUCCUAAUUAAAGCAACACAACGAUCAAGAUUAGAUUUGUAUAGCCACUACUACAAAGGCUAUGAAUGGUAACCGAAACCAUACCCAAAAUCGCAUCGCAACAGUGUUGUAACAAUAUCAAAAUCUCUACAUAUAUAUAUAUCUAUGUAUUUUCGUUACUAUUUGAACUGCACCGCACUUUUCCCGUACCGCAAAACGCAGUCACUAUUUGGAAGCAAAACCAAUAUGUUUUUUUCUUUUUGUUAAAGUACAAAGCCAAUAUGUUUCUUCCACUUUUUUCUUCACAUCCAAAUCCAUUUCUCUUUUUCCUUUCAUAUGUUUUGUUUUGUUAAACUCUUUUCUGUUGUUUUUUGAAUUAAAGCUUACAAAUUGUUUAACGAUUGAGAUUCAAAUGUAUCCAUAUUAUUAUUUGCAAAAGUCUUGUAAGGUUCUUUUGGCUUUUACAAAACACAAAAUCCCAUAGAACUAACGUUAAGAUUUAUUAUGUACUGCCGACAAUAGAUUGUAGUACAAUAGUAUGUACUUUUUUGAAUUUAUUCAUAUUGUCAGUGUAAUUUAAUUUAUUUUGGUGAUUGUUAUAUAGAUUUAAAUUCUGAUAUAUUAUCCGGAUUAUUGUAAAAUUAUUACAUACAUAUAUAAAUUGAGUUUGAUAAAUCUAAUUUGGGUGUCACACCUCCCAAUCACAAGAACCAUGCAAUAAUGGAAACUAAAAUUAAAGGUUCGAAAUAUUUAUAUAUUUUCAAAAAAUCCAUAAAAUAAGAAAAGAGAAAGGUGUUGGAAAAUAAGUAAAAAAGGAUGUCUUGUGCUAGAAGAAAAGGAACGGCAUCAUCAUCAUCAUCCCAUGUGUAUGAUAGCGAUUCAUGUCAUGUGGUGGUGGGUCUAUUUCACCAUUCCUGUGUUAUAUGGCUCUAAAUCGUAUCAUCAAACUGUAUAGCUCACACGAUAAUCUCUCAACUCUCACUGUUAAGUGCUAAGCUUUGUUUUCUAGUUCUUAGCGAUGGUUUUUGAAACUAGACAAUCAAUUAGUAGUUUGUUGGAAUAAUGUAGAAUCUUGAUGAGAUUGAUUGAUAUGAUAUGGAGUGAAAAUCUAAAAGACAAAAUUGUGUUAAACAACUUAUUACUCGUUUGUAAUUUAAUCUCAAGUCUCAACUUCUCUGCAUCUACCAAUAAGACUAGUUACAAUGGUUUGCUGUAAACCAUUUUACAACAGUUGAAAAAAAAAUAAUUCCACUACAAUGGUAUGUUGUAAUCCAAAAGUAGCUGAUGCGGCAAAUUUAAUAUUAAUAAAUUUCAACACCCAUGAAAGUAGAAGGGAGAAGAUAAAUGUGACAAGUGUUAUAAUUUUAUUUGUUGCUUUAAUUUCUUUUCUUUUUGCUUCGUCUUAAUUAUAUAACUUCAAUUAUUUCAUAAUAUUUAUACAUAAAUAUAUAAAAAUUUAUAUGAAAAUUUAUAAUUUUUCAUUCUGACUACUUUCAUUUGAUUUAGAUACAAGAUAAAAAACCAUUUUUAGACCCAAAAAAAAAAAUAGGUUAAAAUAUAAAAUAAAAAUGGUGGAGUAAGAUAUUGUAAUUUUAUUAAACAAAACUGUUGUAAUGUUAAAAAUUAUGUAGGUGUUGAAUAAUGAUGUGGUAGAAAGAAAAGAUGAUGUGGAGUGUUAAAAGUGAAAAAGUGGGUGUUGUAAAUGAGUAACCAUUGUAGAUAAAUAGUCUAAUGAUUAAUUUUGCCAACAAUGAUUAUCUCAACUUCAGGGAUAAACCGGCCUAAAUUUUAGAUUUGAGUUUGAUCACUUAUGUGUGUUAUGUCUGCAUGCCUAAUAAGAAGUAUUAUGACCAACAAAUAUUCAAUGUCAGUGUAAUCCAAAUUUAGCAAAGCAAUGUAAAUGAGCUGCAUAUUAUAUGUUAAAUAUUGUGUGUACUCGUGUUCUUGUUUUUACAUCAUCAGUUACUAAUUCUAAAUCCGAAAUUCCAUCUACAUACGUAGAUCAAUCAAAGUUGUCCUAAGAGGAGGCCUUGUGAGUCUCAUUGGGUUUUACAGAAAUCGUCGGACCUAUUUGGGCUCAAACAUAUAAAAGAUCCAAGAUACUGGAUUUAGGCCCAAACUCUUUUCUCAAUACGAUAGGAUCCAAAUCUUUUUGUAGCUGUGGAAUGUGGUGGAUAACAAAUAACGUCACUUGGUAAAAAUCCAACAUUUUAGAUUCAGCCAUCGGUCGUACAACGUCACUCUCAUCAACUUCUUUUUCAGUUCCCCAAAUCACGAUGAUCGCUUAGUCAUCACACCCAUCUAGCAUCCCGCCGUCAGAUAAACCGGUCAUUUACCCUUACCAACAUACCGGUUUUCUCAAUUUACAAAUUCGGUUUGAUAAAUAUCAAUAGAUUAGGUAAAUAGAAAUUAAGUUAAUUCGGCACGUGUCACGAAAACUACCACAUGGCGCAAAGGCCAAAACCACAAAAUUCAGAAAAGUUGGUAUGCUUCCACGUAAUUGACAUUUUUCACGUGAUUUGCUUGUGACUACUGAUGUUACAAUUAGUAGACGUACCGUUCAAUAACGUGAUAUUUAUUAGAGAUUAUUGAUUUGCAUAAUUAGUUACAAAAUCACACGUCACAACCAUUUUUCCCCAAUAUUACGUCCAAAACUGUUGAUUCGUUUGAUUUUUAUUGUCCGUCCAAUGACUAUUUCGAUUUAUUAUAACUUCUUGUGUUAGUAAAUAGUAAUUCAAGUCUAUAUAUACUCUUAUAUCAUAAAUUAGGAAAAGUAAGUACUGUAUACGAUCAUUGUAUCUAAUAAAAUAUGAAAUAUGCGAGCAAUAACGGCCAAAUAGAGCGUAACUUCAGUUUUUUUUGUGAUACCUAGUUUUAAAUACCCUAAACAUCAAGUUACCUCAAAUUGGCAAAACCUAAUUUUGCUGAAAUUGAAAGAAAAAUAAUAUAUUUUUAUUUCUAUAUUUGACUUCAUUUAAAUAUUAUUUUCGAAAUAAAUAUUUACCUACGAUUGAUUUUAUCAACCAGUUGAACGAAUAAUCUUCUUUUUUGUAUGUUAAGGUGCACUUAUAAUAUAUAUUUCUAUAUAUAUCACAUGAAAGAAAAAUAAAAUAAUUUAAAUAAUAACAACUUUCAGAACUAAGUUUUUUUCAUAUUAAUUAUAAAAAAUUUGUAUAGUAUACUAUAGACUCAAUAAUAGUAAGUACUAAGCAGUAACCAUCAAUAACAAUAUUUUCUAGGACUAACAUUUUAUUUCUCUUCCUACGAACGUACCACAUUGUAUCAUGAUAGCCAAUCAAAAUACACAGUACUGAAACUAGUAAUGAUAAUAAGUUAGGCAGCCUAAUUAUAUACAACUUUUCAAAUACGUCAUAUGAACAAAUAACAUUUUCCGUAAUAUGUACUGAAAAUUUCCACGAUAAAAAACAAUAAAAAUGCUCGAUUAAUGUUCUUAUACACUGGCAUUAACAAUUCUCACAGCAAAACUACCACACUAAUCACAAUCUUAUGCUCAUGUAGUAUUUUUAGACAACAUUGUACAUGUAGAAAGUUCUUUAACUCUUAAGUAUUAUCGACUAGUUUUUUUUCUAGAAUGAAUUUUUCUAAUCGAAUACUUUAAAAAUAGAGUCGACGAAAGAGAUUAAAUAUAACAAAACCAAACCACGUGAGGAUCAUAAGCUAUGGACGAGGAAAAUCGUCAAACUUUGAGAUAAAUUUUUGAUUGAUUAGGUGUUUGUUGUACUUUUUCUUAUUAAUAUCCAGAAUUCAGAACCUUCUCUUCCUCAAAUCUGUCUUUAUCCUUUUUAAUUCAAUUUUAAUCUCAACUUUUCUAUAUUUUAUCGUCUAAAUUUAAAGAAAAGAAAAAACCCAAAAACAGAGGAUUUUGAUCAAGUAAAAGAAAGAAUAUUUUCUAGAGAAAGCAAAUCGAUUCUCUCACCUUUAUAUAUAUAACCUCUCCACCUCUGUUUCGUCUCUCAAUAUAUAUCCACUGGUCUUUCCUUUUUCCGGCAAAAUUGUAACAGAACCAAAAAUUACUCUGUUUUUUUUUAUUUUCUUGACAAGUCUGCAUUUUUCUCCUCUGUUUUGGAAUUUUCUCGUUUCUGGUUUUCCGAUCAUAAAAAACAAACAAAACUACCGUAAAAUAGGCUCUCUCCACAGAAAAAAAAGAAGACUUUUCUUUCAUUCUUCUGCAAGUAACUGAGCAGAUUUCGGUUUUUUCUUCUUCAAAUUGAUAUUUUUAAAGUUAUAAAAAUUUCUUGUCCAUAAUUUCCGUUUUCCUUAAAUUCAGCUGUCCUAACGUCAAAUCUCAGACACUCGCUUGCGUGUCUCCCUCUCUUAAACUCUCUCUUUCUCUUUCUCUUUUGGUUUCUGGGUUAUUUCAAAGAAAAGAAUCAAGAAACCCCUCUUUCUCUCUUACAAGAAU